This 106-nucleotide transfer RNA is filed under the name Penicillium salamii. RNAcentral describes it as "tRNA-Gln". It matches the Rfam family "tRNA". From Rfam's summary of the family: Transfer RNA (tRNA) molecules are approximately 80 nucleotides in length. Their secondary structure includes four short double-helical elements and three loops (D, anti-codon, and T loops). Lineage: Eukaryota; Fungi; Ascomycota; Eurotiomycetes; Eurotiales; Aspergillaceae. The record is from RNAcentral.
CGUAGGUCUUAUAGUCUAGUGGUUAGGACAGCGGUUUUUGAAGUUACCUGUUUGGGCGAACAAAUUAAUUACCGUUAGCCCCGGUUCGAACCCGGGUAAGACCUCG